AUGCAGGACGUGGGCCCCUGCGGCUGCCAGCUCAAGAGGAAGGGCAGGAGCCCGUCUGCCGUCUGCUCACACGGGGGGCACUCUGGCCUCCACACACCAGCCUGCAGUCACUGGUCUCAGGCAGUCCUUAUACAGCUCCUGGGGCCUCCCAUUCUCGCUGGUCCUGAGCCACUCCUCUGGCCCACAGGACUGGGGAGAAGACAGCAGGAGAACCACACACGUCCUUCUGCAACAAGGGGCAGAAAACGGUACAAACAUCCCCAUCCUCUGGGAGCUAAGGGUCCAGGGCCCCCUCCCCGAGAGACUCGACUUGACCACCCGGGUCCCCCCUGCCUGUUCACACCUGAGCCCAGGCCCCCAGUCUAGCCGGGAAGGACCGCAGCUCCCCUCUCCUGAACACACCUCUCUCUCCCACAAAAUAAUUUAAUGCAACUUAAUGGCUUGAAGUUGAUGUAAAAAUUACAGGCGUGUGAGGGUGGGGUGGGGUGGGGGCCUCGUAAGAAAUCCUUUUGAAAAUAUAAUUGAGUUAAUGGAGCCAUAACCGUGUCUCAUUUUGGGGGGGUAAUUGGCCUGCUUUUUGUCACUCUGUCCAUUUACAUACUCCUGUUUUCUUUUAGCUAUUGAUUUUUUUCUUUAUAAAGUGGGCCACUUUACUGCAAUUUUUAAAGCCCCAGUGAUGAAUAAAAACCUCAUCUUCCCACUCAUUAAGACACAGGAAUUAGCCAGGCUCAGGGCCCCACCAGUCAAUUUGCGUAACAAUCCUGAGCUGCUGGUGUUUUGGUUGGGGCCCAGGGGCUGCUUGCUAAUGGCUAGGGAUUCAAAGGCAGCAAGAGGGGCUGAGUCAGUUUCCGGAAGGUGGGUCUUGGGUAAGGGACCUGGAGGACUGAAGGGAUCUCCUAAGCCCUGAUCUAAAGGUGCCCCUUUCACCUCUCCCCUUCUGGUUUUCUUCCCCGGCUGCCCACAGCCUCGGGCCCCUCCCUUGACCUGCACCUGCCUUCUCACGACUGUAAUUCAGAGGCCCCACCUACCUGCCUUUGACUUUGGAUCAAGGUCACACACACAGACCAAGGUCACCUGUCCUUUAGAAUAUAUAUACAUAAAUAUAUUCAUAUAUUCAUAUACAUAUAUACAUUUAAAGUCUUUAUUGAAUUUGUUACAAUAUUGUUUUAUGUUUUGUUUUUUUGGCUGCGAGGCAUGUGGGAUCUUAGCUCCCAGAUCAGGGAUCAAACUUGCACCCCCAGCAUUGGAAGGCAAAGUCUUAACCACUGGACCACUAGGGAUAUCCUUUGGAAUAUGUUUUUUAAAUUACAAAACCCAUGAGUGUUAGUCACUCAGUCGUGUCCGACUCUUUGCAACCCCACAGACUAUAGCCUGUCAGGUUCCUCUGUCCAUGGAAUUUUCCAGGCAAGAAUNNNNNNNNNNNNNNNNNNNNNNNNNNNNNNNNNNNNNNNNNNNNNNNNNNNNNNNNNNNNNNNNNNNNNNNNNNNNNNNNNNNNNNNNNNNNNNNNNNNGGAAUUUUCCAGGCAAGAAUACUGGAGUGGGUUGCCAUUCCCUUUUCCAGCACAAAACCCAUACACACACAAAAUAAAGGAGGCCAAUGGGUUCCAAGCGCAAAGGGUUACAAAGAGAAAGUAGUAUCCUCCAGAGCCUCAAUCUCCAGAGGCAAUGUCUGUGGACCGCCCCAUGCCAUCUGCAGCUUGAUUAUUUGAUCUCACUCAGCAUCUUGGGCAUCUUGCCCGUUGGCCCUACUAAACCCGCUGGUCAUUUUUCCUGACUUCCUAGUACUCCCUUGCCUGUCUAUACUGUGGUGUGUCCCAGUCUGAGGGGGCGUGGGAUCCCAGGAUGUGGCAGUGUCAGUGCUAAUGCCAGAAUGGUCCCAGGGAAACUGAGACGGUUAGGGUGCGUCAGCUUUCAUGUAUUCGGCCAGUGGCUGCUGUUGGAUAUUUCAGUCGCUGCUAGUUUCUCAACCUGACAAAGGACAUCUCUGUUCACAUAUCUUUGUGCCCUUAUGCACAUGUGUCUAGAAGAUAAAAUUCCUAGAAGAGAAACUGCUAGGUGAAAAGCAUGCAUAUUUCAAAUUUUGAUUGCUAUUGCCAAACCACUGGGCAAGUGUGUGUGCCAAUAGAUACACUUGCAGCAAGUGGGAAAGCUCACGCGUCCCUCCAUCCUUGAUAAAGCUGGAGACAAUCGCUUAGGCCUCUGUCAUUUGAUAGGUGACAAGUAGUGUCUGGUAGGAUUUUUUUAGAAAUGAGCUAGAAGACUUAGAUAACAAUAAAAGCGCUAAUUUCAAGCGUCCAGUUUGAUGAGCUUUCACACAUAGGUACAGUUGUGUAACCACCCCCAAAGUCAAGAUGCAGAACAUCCCUAGCAGCCCUGGGAAAGUUCCUUCAGGCCCCAGAUCAUUCCCCAUCUCCCGCCCAGUCUCACCCUCGGGCCACCAUGACCCGCCCUUUCCGUCCCUGUAGAAUAGUUUUGCCUUUUCUAGGAUUUCGCAUAAAUGGAACCAUGUGAAAUGCACCUGUUGGUUUGCUCAGCAAACCACUUUGAGAUUCAUCCAGACGUUGUCACGUGUGUCCUGUUCACUGCCAGGUAGGGUCCACUGCCUGGGGGCCGUGUCUGCACCAUUCACCUGUUGCUUAGACACUUGGGCUGGUCCAGUUUAGUGUGUUAAUGAGCCAGGCUGCUGUGAACACUCAAGUACAAGUAUGUGAAUGUGUUUCAACUCCUGGGCAAACACUUGAGUGCAGAACAACUGGGUCACAGGGCAAGUGGACAAGACCUUUCCUGAGCUGUCUCCUAUUUCCCAACCCCUAUCCCCAGGCUGCCCUGCUUUCCAUUCCCCCAGGUAGAGAAAGAGGCCUUCCGCAUUCUCUCCAGCAUCCGACGCCAACUGCUUGUUGCGUUCAGUCCCACGGGGAGGUGUGCAGUGGUAUCUCUUUGUGGCUGCAACUUGUUAUUUCCCAGGUCAGUUCUGCUGUGUUUGGCAUGUGUUAAUAACGAUGUUUUUAUUGUGGAGAAAUUUCAAACAUUUUGUGUAAUACAUUUCUCUUUCUGUUUGUGGUUUUGGGGUUUUGUCAUAACUUCCUUUUAUACCCCAAGUGUGAUGGCUUCAGCCCCCAGAAAUGGUUCCCUCAGGGUGACCCUCCUUUUUAGGGGUUUCCAAAGCAAUGGAACCUAUACCCAGGUUCACAAACUCCCCAUCUCCCCAAGCCUGCCCUGAGUCCUCAUCUAGAACAAUAGGGUUUGACCAGGGUCUCAGGACACAGGCACACGACCACCAGCCGUGGUCCUUACUGUACUGAGCAGAGACCCUCAGGCAAGAAGACUCUGAGAAACCCCUGCCUGGUGCGAACAAGGGCUGAGCAGGACAGGGUCAGAGGCCACUCCCUGGCCUUCAUGACCCCUCUGCAAUCCUGUCCCAGGGAGGGCUCUGGUCCACAUGGGACCGGAGGCUGGGAGAGCAGAGGGCCAGUGUCCCUCUGCCAGGCCUCCCAGGAUGGAUGGAGGAGGCUGCAGUGAGGUGUGUGUAUGUGUGUGUGUGUGAACUUUCCACGCCCUGUGCCCUAGUUGGGGCCCACUCACCAGCUCCCGGGCUUGCCAGGUCACCUCACAGACACCAGACACACCUGACGUUUCAGCCCCUGGACCUGUAUUCCCAUCUGUUUUGUGUCAUAAGUUAAGAGUCACUGGGAAGCAUGAAGCCACCCCAGGCUGGAGCAGAGGCCAUGCAGACAGUCUCAGGUCCGGGGAAGGAACAGCACGGGCUGAAGUGGGAAAGUGAGCCGAACUCCAGGAAAAUCCCAUUCUAAACAUUUCUCUCAAGUAUUCAGAAAGCAUUAGAUUCAUAGCAACUGCUAACGAUCUUUAUUCGAAUUAAACUGGAAACUCCACAGACUCUGUGAUCCUGUUGCAGAAAGCAAGUCCUCCCCUUAAUUCAGUUCUCUGACUUUGCCCGCACCCUCAUCUCAACACAGGUCCCGGACAAUGAUGCAGGCAGGAAGGGGAAGUGGUCGGACCUCCAGCAGGCUGUCUGAGGGCUGGGGAGACUGAGAAGUGGAGCCCCAGAGACAUUUCCCCACCCACCUGGGGCGGCCCUGCCACCAGCCUGGCUCCACCCCCACCCCAGAGGCUGUCCCAGAAUGCUUUGGGCCAUGGCUAUUGUCUGAAGUGUGGCCUGAGCUUCCCCAGAAGAGCGGGAGACACCACACCACACCUCCACUCCACCCCCCACCCCCACUCUGCACAAGUCCCCAGACUCACACAGGUUUGGGGGUAACAUCUGAGUUGAAACAUCUGCAGACCCCAGCCCUGCAACGUGGCCCUGCCCAGGGGUGCAUGCGUGCUUGCUAAGUCACUCCAGUCGUGCCCAACUCUUUGCGACCCCAGGGACUGUAUAGCCCUCCAGGCUCUUCUGUCCAUGGGAUUCUCCAGGCAAGAAUACUNNNNNNGGGUUGCCCUGCCCUCCUCCAGGGGAUCCUCCCAACCCAGGGAUCGAACCUGUGUCUCCUGUGGCUCCUGCCUUGUGGGCAGAUUCUUUAAUGCUGAGCCACUAGGGAAGCCCCCUGCCCAGGGGUGCUGCUGGCUCUUUGGGAGGCGGGCAGGUUCUUGGGUCCCACUCUGCUCCCAUGUGCUUGGGCCUUGUCAACCACCCCCUUCCUGAGCCUGAGCCUGGCCCCAGGGGCCCCCUUGAAGUCCCUCACCCCUCAAAUGAUGGGCCCUGAGCCCUCAGCACUUCCCAGGAGGGUGGGUAAGCAGUAUGGCCCCCCUCAAUGUGAGUGAUAUAACCUGGCAUCCAGCCCUCUCUGCCUAUUGUGUGGGGUGAGAGGGGUGGUCAGGACAAGAGAUUCCCCCACCCAGCAGCUGGACAGACCUGGCCUUGGGUUCUGCUCCUGGAUCAUGCAGUCUGGGGGGUGCUGUUUGUGGGGGACGUGGGGGUGCUCAGAGCACUUCUUUGCGGGGUAG
RNAcentral lists this long non-coding RNA (4962 nucleotides) under Capra hircus (goat). RNAcentral describes it as "lncRNA (ENSCHIG00010028945.1)". The record is from RNAcentral. Lineage: Eukaryota; Metazoa; Chordata; Mammalia; Artiodactyla; Bovidae.